This 93-nucleotide ribosomal RNA is filed under the name Exophiala mesophila. RNAcentral describes it as "partial internal transcribed spacer 2". Lineage: Eukaryota; Fungi; Ascomycota; Eurotiomycetes; Chaetothyriales; Herpotrichiellaceae. The record is from RNAcentral.
ACCCCUCAAGCCCCCCUUCUUAAUUGAAGCCGGCUUGGUGUUGGACGGCUUGGUGUCAGCGAUGUCACCCCUCCCAAAGACAAUGACCGGGGG